Molecule: ribosomal RNA, 468 nt
Filed under: uncultured bacterium
Lineage: Bacteria
Description: partial 16S ribosomal RNA
Rfam family: Bacterial small subunit ribosomal RNA
Source: RNAcentral
GACGAACGCUGGCGGCGUGCUUAACACAUGCAAGUCGAACGGAAAGGCCCUGCUUUUGUGGGGUGCUCGAGUGGCGAACGGGUGAGUAACACGUGAGUAACCUGCCCUUGACUUUGGGAUAACUUCAGGAAACUGGGGCUAAUACCGGAUAGGAGCUCCUGCUGCAUGGUGGGGGUUGGAAAGUUUCGGCGGUUGGGGAUGGACUCGCGGCUUAUCAGCUUGUUGGUGGGGUAGUGGCUUACCAAGGCUUUGACGGGUAGCCGGCCUGAGAGGGGGACCGGCCAAAUUGGGAAAUAGAGACGGCCAGGAGUCCUCAGGGAGGCAGCAGUGGGGAAGAGGGGUCAAGGGGCGGAAGUCGGAUGCAGCAACGCCGUGUGAGGGAGGACGGCCGUCGGGUUGUAAACAGCUUGCGCCUGUGACGAAGGGUGAGUGACGGGAAUGGGUAGAGAAGCACCGGACAAAUACGUG